Molecule: ribosomal RNA, 446 nt
Filed under: Triticum aestivum (bread wheat)
Lineage: Eukaryota; Viridiplantae; Streptophyta; Magnoliopsida; Poales; Poaceae
Description: partial small subunit ribosomal RNA
Source: RNAcentral
UGCACGUCCCUCCUUGUCCGACGCAUACUUGAGGUAGCACUGCGAUGACUGCCACUACAGUUACCUGCUCUACACGGAGCCGCAGCUGCUCGUACGUGACUCCGCCCUUCACCUUUUCCUUAUGUAGCGGUUCGCUUGAGUUACCAUGCUACGACCUCCACCUUCUGCACCGGUUGUACCGCGACAUACAGCUCAGCCUGCUCCGAUCCAUCGAGAGUUUGACACGUCUCAGUUCUAACUACGAUACCAUGGUAAUUACUAAGGUCGACUUCUAUAAACGUUGGACUUCACAAUGUGUUCAAAUGAUAACACGGUUACACAGUAGUACACAAAGGUACUAAAAACGUUUGGAAAUUAUAUAGGGGCCCAAGGAAAAGAAGAUACGAUCUUAACCAAACCUUUUUGACAUACGUUGAUACCGGUACUUUAACAUAAUUCUUAAUACG